UCCGGCCGCCUGGCCGCGGGAUUCCCAUACAAUCUUGCUAGCGCAUGCUAAAAAGAUAAAAGCUCCGGCGGUGUAAAAUGAGCGUGCGUCCUAUUAGCUAGUUGGAGAGGUAAUGGCUCACCAAGGCUACGAUGGGUAGGGGUUCUUAGUGGAAGGUCCCCCACACUGGCACUGAGAUACGGGCCAGACUCCUACGGGAGGCAGCAGUAGGGAAUAUUGGUCAAUGGGCGCAAGCCUGAACCAGCCAUGCCGCGUGCAGGAUGAAGGCUCUCUGAGUUGUAAACUGCUUUUGUACAGGAGCAAAAAAGCCCCUGCGGGGGCUCUUGAGAGUACUGUAAGAAUAAGCACCGGCUAAUUCCGUGCCAGCAGCCGCGGUAAUACGGAAGGUGCAAGCGUUAUCCGGUUUUAUUGGGUUUAAAGGGUGCGUAGGCGGCUUAUUAAGUCAGUUGUGAAAUCCUAGUGCUUAACGCUAGAACUGCGAUUGAUACUAUUAGGCUUGAGUUAAGAAGAGGUAGGCAGAAUUUAUGGGUGUAGUAGUGAAAUGCUUAGAUAUCAUAAGGAAUACCAAUAGCGUAAGCAGCUUACUGGUCUUUAACUGAACGCUGAGGCACGAAAAGCGUGGGGAACCAAACAGGA
This 636-nucleotide ribosomal RNA is filed under the name Cardinium endosymbiont of Brevipalpus phoenicis. Its description in RNAcentral is "bacterial SSU rRNA". It matches the Rfam family "Bacterial small subunit ribosomal RNA", at positions 146 to 777 of the family's 1533-position model. The record is from RNAcentral. Lineage: Bacteria; Pseudomonadati; Bacteroidota; Cytophagia; Cytophagales; Amoebophilaceae.